AUGGCUUCCGGUGCUCAAGCCGCGAAGAUGGUGGCACUGAGCAUGAUGCUGGCCAUCCUGCUCGCCACCACGGCCGACUCCAAUCCCCAGCCAGACCGCACCUGCUCCGUGGAGUGCGCCUGCGCCGAGCAGUGCAGCCGCCAGUACCCUCGCGUCGACGACGACCCCCCUUUCAAGAUCACUCCUGUCUGCACACACCGCACGGAGCACGAGUUCUACGCUCGCCUCUACCUGCACCAUAGUUUUCAAGGGAAAUAUAGGAACCAACAAGACGUAUUGAGUAGUGAGUUGAAAAAUGACUUUGGAUCCUUGAUUGUUAAUGAUUGGGUCAUCACGGACGCACCUGGCCGUGACACCAAGGUUGUGGCUCACGCCAAGGGAAUCCAUAUCCAGGCCGGAAUGGACACCGAAGACUACUAUGUUUCUUUCAACAUGGUGUUCGACGAUGGCAGGUUUAAAGGGUCCACGCUUCAAGUCAUGGGAACCGUUGUCGCAGAAGGUGAAUGGGCUAUUCUGGGUGGAACAGGAGAAUUUGCAUUAGCUCGUGGAGUCAUUUAUAAAACCUACUCGAAAUACAUUAAUCAAGUGGGUGAUGUGAUUGAACUUGACAUUCAUUGUCUUUACACUGCUAUGGAAAGGUCAAAGGGUACUUAUUGGGCAUUGGAGGCAUGA
This 672-nucleotide ribosomal RNA is filed under the name Triticum aestivum (bread wheat). Its description in RNAcentral is "partial small subunit ribosomal RNA". Lineage: Eukaryota; Viridiplantae; Streptophyta; Magnoliopsida; Poales; Poaceae. The record is from RNAcentral.